This 301-nucleotide ribosomal RNA is filed under the name uncultured bacterium. Its description in RNAcentral is "partial 16S ribosomal RNA". It matches the Rfam family "Bacterial small subunit ribosomal RNA", at positions 509 to 809 of the family's 1533-position model. The record is from RNAcentral.
CAGUAGCCACGGUAAAACGUAGGCGGCAAGCGUUGUCCGGAAUUAUUGGGCGUAAAGAGAGCGCAGGUGGGACGGUAAGUCCGUCUUAAAAGGCAGGGGCUCAGCCCCUGUAAGGGAUGGAAACUAUCGAUCUUGAGUACCGGAGAGGAAAGCGGAAUUCCCAGUGUAGCGGUGAAAUGCGUAGAUAUUGGGAAGAACACCAGUGGCGAAGGUGGCUUUCUGGACGGCAACUGACACUGAGGCUCGAAAGCCAGGGGAGCGAACGGGAUUAGAUACCCCCGUAGUCCCUGUCUCUUAUACA